AAGUCGUAACAAGGUUUCCGUAGGUGAACCUGCGGAAGGAUCAUUAAAGAGAUAGGUCGUUCAUGGCCCGACCUCCCAACCCCUUCAUCGUUGUUAUAAUCUUAUCCAUUGCUUGCCUUUCGGUCGGGUAUGCCGGUCCUCGGUCUCCGAGCGCACUAACCCUCGGGUUGGUGAGCGCCCGCCAGAGUCCAACCAAAACUCUUGUAUUAAAACCAGUCGUCUGAGUAUAAAAUUUUUAAUUAAAUUAAAA
RNAcentral lists this unclassified non-coding RNA (250 nucleotides) under plant metagenome. RNAcentral describes it as "partial contains small subunit ribosomal RNA and internal transcribed spacer 1". The stretch from base 1 to 46 matches the Rfam family "Eukaryotic small subunit ribosomal RNA", at positions 1786 to 1831 of the family's 1831-position model. The record is from RNAcentral.